GACGAACGCUGGCGGCGUGCUUAACACAUGCAAGUCGAACGAUGAGGCCGGAGCUUGCUCUGGUGAAUUAGUGGCGAACGGGUGAGUAACACGUGAGUAACCUGCCCUUGACUCUGGGAUAACUGCGGGAAACUGUAGCUAAUACCGGAUACGACCAUCGGAGGCAUCUCCUGGGGGUGGAAAGAAUUUCGGUCAAGGAUGGACUCGCGGCCUAUCAGCUGGUUGGUGAGGUAAAGGCUCACCAAGGCGACGACGGGUAGCCGGCCUGAGAGGGUGACCGGGCACACUGGGACUGAGACACGGCCCAGACUCCUACGGGAGGCAGCAGUGGGGAAUAUUGCACAAUGGGCGCAAGCCUGAUGCAGCAACGCCGCGUGAGGGAUGACGGCCUUCGGGUUGUAAACCUCUUUUAGCAGGGAAGAAGCGAAAGUGACGGUACCUGCAGAAAAAGCACCGGCUAACUACGUGCCAGCCGCCGCAGUAA
Molecule: ribosomal RNA, 484 nt
Filed under: uncultured bacterium
Lineage: Bacteria
Description: partial 16S ribosomal RNA
Rfam family: Bacterial small subunit ribosomal RNA
Source: RNAcentral